Patella vulgata (common limpet) is the source of this 2034-nucleotide long non-coding RNA. RefSeq lists it as uncharacterized. NCBI's taxonomy places the organism in Eukaryota, Metazoa, Mollusca, Gastropoda, Patellidae. The transcript has 4 exons. The record is from RefSeq and is a predicted model, not a curated record.
GUAAAACUUUAGCCGUCCAUUUAUAAAUAGCACAGAGUAAAAAUGUGUAACUAGUUCGCGCGAUAUUACGUUUACCCGGAAGUUAUUUGAAGGUGACCCAUUGACAAAAUGGCAGCCACCUUAGUGAAAGUUGCAACUAAAGUUGCUGUAGGAGUUGGUGCAGUAUAUGUUACUGUAGACCAGGGGGUAUGGGGUACAAACAGUCAAGCAGUCAAAGCAGUAGACAAAGUUAGAAGUUCUGUUUUACCAGCAGCCAAUGAUUAUGUGAAAUCAAUUCCAUCUCUAAAUGAUAUCAACAAUUCAGUUCUAAGAACAUGGAAUUCUGGUGUGAAAAAGACCUUCUCAGUGCUAUCAAAUGCCCCAUCAAAAGCUAGAGAAUACAGUAAAAAAGCCUACGAUUCAUCUCUACGUCUGAUUAAAGAGAACUGAGAGAUCCCAUUGUUCAUUGAACAGUUUAAUAAGUGCUAUGGAGAUUACUCUAUACAGUGGACAAAGUGUAUCAUCUUUCGUGUGUUAAAUUUUAUUAGUUUUGUAGCCUAAUUAAUAUCAGUAACAAUAAGAAGACAACAUAAAACUAAUGAUACCACAAUACAUGGCAUUUUUUUUCAUAACAUGAUUAUGUUGAGUUUUACUCGUUCAGUUACAUGAGAAGUUAUUGUACUAUUAUAAACAUAAAAUGUUGACUUGCAAGAUGAGAAUGCUGUGAUAAUAAAAAAUUGUAGUUAAACAGAAAAAUCUAUUGUAAAGAUGAUCAUUUAAGUGCAACAUUUUACGGAAAUGACUUAUGAACCCUCCACCACAAUAGUAAUUCUCGACCUAACAAUGAUAGCUGUAUCCUCUAAACUGUGAUGUCAUGUUUCACCAGAUAUUGUAGUGACGACGAAUUUGAUUUUCUUUGGAUAUUUCACUGAUGAUUUCAGACACUAGUACAAUGAAAAUAUGUAAUGUAAAUUUGAUUUCUGCUUUCACAAGUUAUCAACUGAAGAAUUAAGUAGGAAGUAACUUGAAGUAGGAAAUAACUUGACAUUUUAAUUAUAUCAGUAUUUUUAUUCGCCCACAUUGAAAUGUGGUCAUAUAUAUUGUUGUCGCCCCCGUCUGUCUAGAGGCUAAAGUUAAUAUCCGAUUGACUUUAAAUUUAUACACAGUGUUUAAGGUCAUGAGACGAAGAAGCCUAUUGAUUUUCAGUGAUUUCCGAUAAUUACUGCCAGAGUUAUGGCCCUUGAUCGCUUUCAAAAAUCUUGUGGACGCUCUAGAGGCUAAAGUUAAUAUCCGAUUGACUUAUAACUUAUACACAGUGUUUAAGGUCAUGAGACUAAAAAGCCUAUUGAUUUUCAGUGAUUUCCGAUAAUAACGGCCAGAGUUAUGGCCCUUGAUCACUUUGAAAAAUCUUGUGGACGCUCUAGAGGCUAAAGUUAAUAUCCGAUUGACUUUAAAUUUAUACACAGUGUUGAAGGUCAUGAGACGAAGAAGCCUAUUGAUUUUCAACGAUUUCGGAUAAUUACUGACAGAGUUAUGAAAAAUCUUGUGACGCUCUAGAGGCUAAAGUUAUCAUCUGAUUGACUUCAGAUUGAUAACACAGAGUUUUUAAAAGGUCUUGAGAUGAACAAGUAUAUUGACUUUCAAUGAAUCUUUAUGACUUGAAACAUCUAAAUCCAUGAUGUUAAAAGUUUCGUAUACUAAACGGUAGCAUGGGACAGAACUUUAUAAAAACCAAACAAAUUCUAAUAGUUUUCUGAUAAUUACUUAAUGAGUUGUUACUCUUAAUCAGAUUUUAAUGUAUUACUGAAAAAAGUCAAAAUACGCGACAACUCUUUUUGACUGCCCGGACGAUAUAGCUGCUGUGGGUGUAUGUUUUGUUGCCUGGCAACCUAUCUUUAAAUAUUGCCUGGAUAACUUAGGCUAUAAUUAUUCACUUCAUGUAGACAAAACGAGUGCAUAAAGUUACCCUCAGAUUUUUUUGGAUAUGCUCACAUCUAAAAGUCAUUUGCAGGAGUGGGCUUCAGUUAGGAUAUAUAAAGAUGAAAAAGCUCACAA